Molecule: non-coding RNA, 184 nt
Filed under: Vibrio marisflavi
Lineage: Bacteria; Pseudomonadati; Pseudomonadota; Gammaproteobacteria; Vibrionales; Vibrionaceae
Description: 6S
Rfam family: 6S / SsrS RNA
About the family: E. coli 6S RNA was the first non coding RNA to be sequenced, but its function was unknown until recently. It consists of 184 nucleotides that fold into an extended hairpin structure with a large single-stranded internal bulge.
Source: RNAcentral
UUUACCCUGAGGUGUUUGUCUGUGGGAUUAAGUCCCUGAGCCGAUAAGCAAUACUUUAGGAUUAGUACUUGCUAACUAUUGAGCAAGCUCGACUCGUAUCGAGAAGCCUACGGUUAACAUUGCCAAUCCGCCUUGAACCAGCUGGUUCAAGGGUCAAUAUCCUCAACGGCACCCCGGGGUAUCU